Molecule: ribosomal RNA, 369 nt
Filed under: Triticum aestivum (bread wheat)
Lineage: Eukaryota; Viridiplantae; Streptophyta; Magnoliopsida; Poales; Poaceae
Description: partial small subunit ribosomal RNA
Source: RNAcentral
AUGGCAUCUAUUCCCUCUGGCGAUGGACAUGAAGUCUCAAUAGAAUACCAAGAUCCCAGGGCGGCCCGGGUGGCGGCGCCCCCUCCCCCGGCAACCCAUCCUCCCUCUCUUUCCCCCCUCCCCGCCGCCGCCAAUAGCCCCCGCCGGGCGAAGCCCGCGCGGAUCUGGCGGCGGCGGGCUGCCAUUUCCCGUGUGGCGCGUUCACGGGCUGGGGGAGCCCCGUGUGGCGGCGACCGGCGUGGCGUGACUCCGGCGCGCAGCGGUUCAUCCGGUGGAGGCUGGGGACGGUGGUGUGGAGGCGCUCGCUGCUCUCUCCCGGUGGCCUGCUCCGAAUCGACGGCGUCCCCCUGUCGGUGGGCGUCGGGGUGA